RNAcentral lists this ribosomal RNA (418 nucleotides) under uncultured bacterium. Its description in RNAcentral is "bacterial SSU rRNA". It matches the Rfam family "Bacterial small subunit ribosomal RNA", at positions 8 to 429 of the family's 1533-position model. The record is from RNAcentral.
AGAGUUUGAUCAUGGCUCAGAUUGAACGCUGGCGGCAUGCCUUACACAUGCAAGUCGAACGGCAGCACGGGGGCAACCCUGGUGGCGAGUGGCGAACGGGUGAGUAAUACAUCGGAACGUGCCCGGAAGUGGGGGAUAACGUAGCGAAAGUUACGCUAAUACCGCAUAUUCUGUGAGCAGGAAAGCAGGGGAUCGCAAGACCUUGCGCUUUCGGAGCGGCCGAUGUCGGAUUAGCUAGUUGGUGAGGUAAAAGCUCACCAAGGCGACGAUCCGUAGCUGGUCUUAGAGGAUGAUCAGCCACACUGGGACUGAGACACGGCCCAGACUCCUACGGGAGGCAGCAGUGGGGAAUUUUGGACAAUGGGGGAAACCCUGAUCCAGCCAUGCCGCGUGAGUGAAGAAGGCCUUCGGUUGUAAG